UUUGAUCGCCCGCGCGAGCGCGUUUAUACGUAGGCUGGCUAGUGUUUUCUGAAUUUAUUGGGCGUAAAGCGAGCGCAGGCGGUCUUUAAGUCUAAUGUGAAAGCAUUCGGCUCAACGAAGAAGUGCAUUGGAAACUGGGAGACUUGAGUGCAGAAGAGGACAGUGGAACUCCAUGUGCAGCGGUGAAGUGCGUAGAUAUAUGGAAGAACACCAGUGGCGAAGGCGGCUGUCUGGUCUGUAACUGACGCUGAGGCUCGAAAGCAUGGGUAGCGAACAGGAUUAGAUACCCUGGUAGUCCAUGCCGUAAACGAUGAUUACUAAGUGUGGAGGGUUUCCGCCCUUCAGUGCUGCAGCUAACGCAUUAAGUAAUCCGCCUGGGGAGUACGACCGCAAGGUUGAAACUCAAAAGAAUUGACGGGGGCCCGCACAAGCGGUGGAGCAUGUGGUUUAAUUCGAAGCUACGCGAAGAACCUUACCAGGUCUUGACAUCUUCUGCCAACCUAAGAGAUUAGGCGUUCCCUUCGGGGACAGAAUGACAGGUGGUGCAUGGUUGUCGUCAGCUCGUGUCGUGAGAUGUUGGGUUAAGUCCCGCAACGAGCGCAACCCUUAUUACUAGUUGCCAGCAUUCAGUUGGGCACUCUAGUGAGACUGCCGGUGACAAACCGGAGGAAGGUGGGGACGACGUCAAAUCAUCAUGCCCCUUAUGACCUGGGCUACACACGUGCUACAAUGGAUGGUACAACGAGUCGCGAAACCGCGAGGUUUAGCUAAUCUCUUAAAACCAUUCUCAGUUCGGACUGUAGGCUGCAACUCGCCUACACGAAGUCGGAAUCGCUAGUAUCGCGUCAAUCCAC
This 854-nucleotide ribosomal RNA is filed under the name Pediococcus acidilactici. RNAcentral's name for it is "bacterial SSU rRNA". It matches the Rfam family "Bacterial small subunit ribosomal RNA", at positions 496 to 1355 of the family's 1533-position model. Lineage: Bacteria; Bacillati; Bacillota; Bacilli; Lactobacillales; Lactobacillaceae. The record is from RNAcentral.